AUGGAGGGGCUGUUGAAUGAUUGGCUGUGGCAUCAGGACUACUGGUUCCCCCCCUGGCAUUGGCUGGAAGGACAUGGAGGUGGGGGUGGAGGUGGGCCAGGGGAGGGCUCGCUACCCGAUGCCCAGAGACCUCCUGGUCACCCUGCCUCUGGCCCUCUGCUUCAUCGCCCUCCGGUGCGUGUUCGAGAGGAUCAUAGCACUCCCUCUAAGCACACGUUUGGGUGUGAAGGACCGGAUCUGGACUGAAGCCCCGUCGAUCCCCAGACUGGAGGCCUUCUGCAAGCAGAACAACCCACAGCCUUCCCAGAGUGAGCUGGUGGGUCUGGCCAGGCAGUAUGGACUCUCUCAGCGACAGAUCCAGACCUGGUUCAGACACCGACGGAACCAACAGCGCCCCAGCAACACCAGGAAGUUCUGCGAGGCCUCUUGGAGAUUUGUCUUCUACCUUGUAGCGUUCACUGCAGGCCUAGCCUCUCUGAUAGAUACAAAAUGGUUCUGGGACACCAGAGAGUGCUGGAACGGCUACCCCAAACAGCCGGUGGCAGAAGCUCACUACUGGUAUUACAUCAUGGAGCUGGGAUUCUACUUGUCCCUCCUGCUGUGCGUGUCUGUGGAUGUGAAGCGAAAGGAUUUCAAGGAGCAGAUUGUUCAUCACAUCGCUACCAUAUUCCUCAUCGGCUUCUCCUACUGCGCCAACUUCCUGAGAGUGGGAACUCUGGUGAUGCUGCUGCACGACUCCUCAGACUUCUUCCUCGAGUCUGCAAAGAUGUUCAACUACGCUGGCUGGAGAAAGGCAUGCGACAUACUGUUUGUCCUCUUCUCUGUCGUCUUCCUGGUGACUAGACUGGUCAUAUUCCCUGGCAGGAUGAUCUUCUCCACCAUGGUAGAAUCUCUGGACUACUUCGACCCGUUCCCUGGGUACUUCUUCCUCAACGCCCUGCUGCUGGUGCUCCAGGCUCUCCACAUCUUCUGGGCCUACCUCAUCCUGCGGAUGGUCCACAAGUUUGUCUUCCAGGGCAAGGUGGAGAAAGACGAGCGCAGCGACGAAGAGAGCGGGGAUGACGAUGAGGAGGACGACGAAGAGGAGUGGCCCGAGGAGGGAGAGGAUGAAGGCUGCUGGGGGAGGAGCGAGGGAAAGGGUGCGAUGAACUCCAAAUCGGCGUCCCUGGCCGACCACUGUGUUCUGAACAAUCUGACCCACCGGAGGAGCUCCAACAGCCCCUGGCCCAAAGCGAGGUAGUGAACCUACCCCUCCACCCCCCACCCCCACUCCGACGUCUCCCCCCACUGCUCCGUCCCCUCAACCCCAACCUUCAGCUUCCACCACCAUCUGUUCAGCAUCAUCAGAUAAUAGGUGUGUCACUGUUUCACCCCACACACACACACACACAGACACUCAGUCACACACACACACACACACACACACACAGAGAGAAGGUCUUGUCACUGGGGAUACUAGACGCUGGUGUCGUUUUCAUUCAUAACCACUAAAGAAAAUUCUCCUGGGUUUUAUUUGCAUGGCUGUGUACAGUUUGUGGUUUAGUAGCUGACUCUAUGACCUCUGUCUUCUACCUUCACUGCGGUUGAUUUUUGAUGUGAAAAAAAAGACAUGACUAGUAGAAGUAGUAGUAGAAGUAGUAGUAGUAGUAUUAUUAGUAGUAGGUAUUUCAUACUAGUUAGGAUCCUCAGAAACAACACUUAUUUAAUCUGCUGGCAUUGAAACACAGAUUGUUUGUGUGUUUUAGUUGUGGUGUAUAAGGUGUGUGUAUAAGGUAGUUGUACAAUCAUCAAUACAUUAAUGGAGGUGAGCUAUUUAAACCUUGAUAUAGUACGGACCUAUCCAGACAAAACUCUGAGGGGGAAUCUUCAGUAAUGGCGAUGAUAAUUGCACCAGAGAUCCUCUAGAGGCUUGUAUGUUUUCUACUACGGACAUUGUCAGAGUCGCACAGACACAACUAUUAAACAAAAUAUUACGCUCAUCCAAUAAAAUAUAUAAAUGCUGCGGACACAUCUGAAAUCCUCUUCUCUGAUCUAUUAUCAAGUCCAGCCCAGAUGAUUACUCAUCUUCAUCCAUGUACUUAACUUCUACAAUAGAUCUAUUCAUUCAGUUCAAUGUUACGCUGGUUUGUAAACUGCCAACUGAAGAAAAAUGGAUUGUCAUAACGUAUUUGAUAAACUACUGUGUAGCCUCUCUUUUUUCCAUCUUAUCGGCUGAACCGAUCAUAAUCAAUCAAUCAAUAACCGCUCUAUAAUUAGCAUUAUCGUUGUAUAUAGAAUUGCUGCCUAAGAAUUUGCUAAUGAAUUAUCUGAUGAACAGAAAAGCGUUUAGGUUGGUUCAGAGUAGAGGGUUCACUCUAGUUAGAUUCUCUCUAAAUGGCCCUGGGUUGGUUGAGUUUCAUUUGAGUACCUUUGGCGCCCCCUAGUGCAUCAGCUUCUCCUGAAUUGGUGUUCCAAUUAACUGAUAUGCCUUUUAAGAAGUGAUUUAAAGUCGGGACUUCUAAAAUAUGUAAUGGUAUUUCCUGUUGAUUCUCUGGUUGGUUCUCGCUGCAAGUUUGAAUUCAGUUAUUCUUGCUCAAGGACUUAGUUUUGUGCCUUGACUCCUGUUUUGACACUGUUUUGUCCCAGCGCCUUGUUCUUUAGCUCUUUGUGCUAAUAGAUAGCUUUACUUUAUAAGCAGAAAGACAAGGAUUUGCUGGUCUGUGUGAGAUUCUGAAGCCAGACAGUGCCUUGAUAAGCUUUGCAUUAAAGUACCCUUUGUGGAAAUGUGAAAACAUUUUGCUUACAACUUUACUGGAGUAUAUUUUUAGAGAUGCAGUGUGUGUGUGUGUGUGUGUGUGUGUGUGUGUGUGUGUGUGUGUGUGUGUGUGUGUGUGUGUGUGUGUGUGUGUGUGUGUGUGUGUGUGAGAGAGAGAGCGGGUGUAUCGAAGGAAAGGAAGGGCUCUCUUAUAUAUGAAGAUAUUAAAUCAAUUUUAAGAAAGAAACCUUUCAGAUGAUUAAACUGGAUUCUGCCACAAUCCCUGGAAUCUAGUUGUCCUUUCCACUCCAAUACAGAGAGGUAUUUGUCUACAAAAUAACCCCUCUCCUUUGAAACAUGAAUGAGGUAGAAUUCUAAGCUUGAAGACAACAUUACUAUGUUGUUGAUAGGCUUCCAACCACUCAGCAUUUAUGUCAAUCCCCACAGUAUGUAUCACAAUUGUAUAAAUCCUUUCUUUAAUGUGUCAGGCAAUGUAUUUUUCUUGGUUUGUUUGUCUGAAUGAGGAAACAAAAGGGCUCAUCAAUUCCCUGUAAUGUCUGAAGACUGAUUAGGCAACCUUUAUUUAAUAAGGGAAAUAACUACAAGUUUAUGAUGCUUUUACACGAGGGAUGCCAAUAAGUAACAGUUAUUUUUUUUCACAAAUGCACAUAUGUCAAAGUUUGCUCUGUCUCUUCAUCGUUGUUAAUAAAGAGAAGUUAUGAAGGUAAGUACUUCAACUGUGCUAGAAAAAGCCUACCAUCCUGAAUGCUUACUGUUAUUUCUCUCCCUCUUAAAAUAAAGAUGUUUUUUUUUUAAA
Molecule: RNA transcript, 3551 nt
Organism: Gadus morhua (Atlantic cod)
Lineage: Eukaryota; Metazoa; Chordata; Actinopteri; Gadiformes; Gadidae
Gene name: ceramide synthase 2-like
Exons: 10
Source: RefSeq, a predicted model, not a curated record